This 798-nucleotide ribosomal RNA is filed under the name uncultured bacterium. RNAcentral's name for it is "bacterial SSU rRNA". It matches the Rfam family "Bacterial small subunit ribosomal RNA", at positions 8 to 832 of the family's 1533-position model. The record is from RNAcentral.
AGAGUUUGAUCCUGGCUCAGAACGAACGCUGGCGGCAUGGAUUAGGCAUGCAAGUUGAACGAACUCCUUCGGGAGUGAGUAGCGGAAGGGUGAGGAACGCGUGAGUAAUCUGCCCCCCAGUUGGGAAUAACAGUUGGAAACGACUGCUAAUACCGAAUGUGGCUUAAGCUUCGCCUGGAGCUUUGGCUAAAGAUUUAUCGCUGGGGGAUGAGCUCGCGUCCCAUUAGCUAGUUGGUGAGGUAACGGCUCACCAAGGCGACGAUGGGUAGCUGGUCUGAGAGGAUGGUCAGCCACACUGGGACUGAGACACUGCCCAGACUCCUACGGGAGGCUGCAGUCGAGAAUCUUGGGCAAUGCGCGAAAGCGUGACCCAGCAAUGCCGCGUGUAUGAUGAAGGCCCUCGGGUCGUAAAGUACUGUCUCCCGUGACGAAAUUUGACGGUAGCGGGGAAGGAAGCCACGGCUAACUACGUGCCAGCAGCCGCGGUAAUACGUAGGUGGCGAGCGUUGUUCGGAUUUAUUGGGCGUAAAGGGUCUGUAGGAGGUUUGUUAAAUACGGGGUGAAAUCCCGAAGCUCAACUUCGGAAUUGCCUUGUAGACUGACGGACUGGAGUACCGGAGAGGUAAGCGGAAUACCAGGUGUAGCGGUGGAAUGCGUAGAUAUCUGGUAGAACACCAAAAGCGAAGGCAGCUUGCUGGACGGAAACUGACUCUGAAAGACGAAAGCAUGGGGAGCAAACAGGAUUGGAUACCCUGGUAGUCCAUGCCGUAAACGUUGUCAACUUGAUGUGGGGGGAUU